UAUGAGAAAAAUAAAAGCUUUAUGAUAAGGCUGAGAUUUUUUUUUUUUUUUUUUACUUUUUGCUUGAACCACCCGCAGUCAGCAGCCGCCAGCAAAAUUCAAAAACCAAGAAGUUUUAAGCAGUAUGGACUAUACAACAGAAUGUCGGUCACAUCCUUAGCCUGGCAGACAUUUAAUGUGUUUUAGCUGAAGCACUAAUCUGCAUUUGCCUGACAGGCAGACGAGAAGAGAUACUCAGAACAGGAAAUAUGAAAGUGGAGAGACGCUGACAAUGAGAACCAACCAUCCAGAUAUUAAUACUGGAUAUUUAUAUAUUUGGAUCAUGGGUGGGAUUUUUGAAGAGCAAAGCAGAAAAUCUUUUUUUCCCCGCAUCUCAGUGUGCCUUCAUGCUCAGUGACUUUACCUCAUUACUGCUGAGCUGAGGUAUUCGUUCUUUGUUUCUCUCGCACAACUCUGUCUCUGAGAUGUUUUAUGCUUAAACUAAUAAUGUACAACAUCAACAAAUGUCUCUUUUGAUACUCUUUAGCACAAAAUAAUCCCACAUGGUAAUGAUAUACAGUCCAUGAAAGCAUUUACAUUUUCUCUGCUGAAUACCUGCUGUCUUGUAGCUUUUUCAAUUGAAAAUUUCUGUGGUGCAAAUAAAGUGAUGCAUUUCAUAUUUUCUGCUUGGUUAACAGGAGCCAUGAUUGUCAUUGUGCGUGAAAGAAGCAUCCUGAAGCCAAACUAAGAAAUCCCAAGCAGCCUGGUUGAUAAACAGAAAAUGUAGAGCAAAAUCACCAGACAAAUGACUGCUUAGCACUGAACCUAUCCAUGCACAUGACCACUUUCAUCAAGAAGACAAUCAGUACAUAUUGUUCAUUACAUAAGUGUUAAGACAAACCUGUGUGGACCUCGAGAAUGUCUCAAUCAUUAAUCUAAGAGGCUUUAUUAGUAUUAAUACAUUGAACCUUUUAUGGUUCUGCUGAGUCUCAGUUGUCAAAAGGUAGCAAAAGUUGCCAGUUCCUCUCUUGCUACUUAUUUAAAUCAGUUUCCUUUGCCCUGGGACUCACUCUGGUUGUUGAAACGAACUUGCAUUUUAUCAGUAAAUGAAACUUGGCGUUCAGGAUCGAGUUGAAUCAGGAAGACUGUCUUCAUGCGCAGUUAUUCUCAGUUCCCUCUCUGUCUGUUGCCAACCAGAUUUUGCCACGAUUUCUAUCAGCCAAUAACAAUAUCUUUGCUGUUGUCUGUGCUGUCAUUUCAGUGCUCAUUGUUGUGAUCCUACUCCACCCCAUUCACCUCCAGCUCUUCAUAUCCAGUGCCCAGAUGAAGCUCAUCAGAGUCCACUCACUUGUCAUACAGAUCCUCAUUCCUGUCACUCCUUCCAGACUCCAUCGGAUGAAACAGCAGCAAUCAGCCAGUAAGAGAGGAGGCGGGCGGAGGGUGCGAUGUUUCCUGCUGCAUUCUGGAGGUGGACGGGAUAAUUACCAGCGGCCUUCUCCCUGAUUAGUGAUCUGAUGAGACUGCAGCGCUGCGAGCAGAAACAGCAUCACCACCCACCUGAUUACAAACGACAUCGCAGACCUCUGUUGUCAGGUUGUAUCCAUCAUAAUCAUUGUGGGAAAUGUAUCUGGCAUAGCAAUGUGGCUUUAAUGGUGGGAAAACAUUCUGCCAUAUUAAAAAUAAAAACAGCACUUCUGAGCAAGCAG
Scatophagus argus is the source of this 1685-nucleotide long non-coding RNA. RefSeq lists it as uncharacterized. Lineage: Eukaryota; Metazoa; Chordata; Actinopteri; Scatophagidae. The transcript is spliced from 2 exons. The record is from RefSeq and is a predicted model, not a curated record.